RNAcentral lists this ribosomal RNA (36 nucleotides) under Terfezia claveryi. RNAcentral describes it as "partial 28S ribosomal RNA". The record is from RNAcentral. Lineage: Eukaryota; Fungi; Ascomycota; Pezizomycetes; Pezizales; Pezizaceae.
GACCCCAGAUCAGGUAGGGAUACCCGCUGAACUUAA